AGAGUUUGAUCCUGGCUCAGGACGAACGCUGGCGGCGCGCCUAACACAUGCAAGUCGAACGAGCGAGAGAGAGCUUGCUUUCUCAAGCGAGUGGCGAACGGGUGAGUAACGCGUGAGGAACCUGCCUCAAAGAGGGGGACAACAGUUGGAAACGACUGCUAAUACCGCAUAAGCCCACAGCUCGGCAUCGAGCAGAGGGAAAAGGAGCAAUCCGCUUUGAGAUGGCCUCGCGUCCGAUUAGCUAGUUGGUGAGGUAAUGGCCCACCAAGGCGACGAUCGGUAGCCGGACUGAGAGGUUGAACGGCCACAUUGGGACUGAGACACGGCCCAGACUCCUACGGGAGGCAGCAGUGGGGAAUAUUGCACAAUGGGGGAAACCCUGAUGCAGCGACGCCGCGUGGAGGAAGAAGGUCUUCGGAUUGUAAACUCCUGUUGUUGAGGAAGAUAAUGACGGUACUCAACAAGGAAGUGACGGCUAACUACGUGCCAGCAGCCGCGGUAAAACGUAGGUCACAAGCGUUGUCCGGAAUUACUGGGUGUAAAGGGAGCGCAGGCGGGAAGACAAGUUGGAAGUGAAAUCUAUGGGCUCAACCCAUAAACUGCUUUCAAAACUGUUUUUCUUGAGUAGUGCAGAGGUAGGCGGAAUUCCCGGUGUAGCGGUGGAAUGCGUAGAUAUCGGGAGGAACACCAGUGGCGAAGGCGGCCUACUGGGCACCAACUGACGCUGAGGCUCGAAAGUGUGGGUAGCAAACAGGAUUAGAUACCCUGGUAGUCCACACCGUAAACGAUGAUUACUAGGUGUUGGAGGAUUGACCCCUUCAGUGCCGCAGUUAACACAAUAAGUAAUCCACCUGGGGAGUACGACCGCAAGGUUGAAACUCAAAGGAAUUGACGGGGGCCCGCACAAGCAGUGGAGUAUGUGGUUUAAUUCGACGCAACGCGAAGAACCUUACCAAGUCUUGACAUCCCUUGACGAUGCUGGAAACAGUAUUUCUUUUCGGAGCAAGGAGACAGGUGGUGCAUGGUUGUCGUCAGCUCGUGUCGUGAGAUGUUGGGUUAAGUCCCGCAACGAGCGCAACCCUUACUGUCAGUUACUACGCAAGAGGACUCUGGCAGGACUGCCGUUGACAAAACGGAGGAAGGUGGGGAUGACGUCAAAUCAUCAUGCCCUUUAUGACUUGGGCUACACACGUACUACAAUGGCGUUAAACAAAGAGAAGCAAGACCGCGAGGUGGAGCAAAACUCAGAAACAACGUCCCAGUUCGGACUGCAGGCUGCAACUCGCCUGCACGAAGUCGGAAUUGCUAGUAAUCGUGGAUCAGCAUGCCACGGUGAAUACGUUCNCCGGGCCCUUGUACACACCGCCCGU
Molecule: ribosomal RNA, 1370 nt
Filed under: uncultured bacterium
Lineage: Bacteria
Description: 16S ribosomal RNA
Rfam family: Bacterial small subunit ribosomal RNA
Source: RNAcentral